GUGGGGAAUCUUGCGCAAUGGGCGAAAGCCUGACGCAGCGACGCCGCGUGCGGGAAGAAGGCCUUAGGGUUGUAAACCGCUUUCAGGAGGGACGAAGCCACUCGGGUGAACAGCCCAGAGGGUGACGGUACCUCCAGAAGAAGCCCCGGCUAACUACGUGCCAGCAGCCGCGGUAAUACGUAGGGGGCAAGCGUUGUCCGGAUUCAUUGGGCGUAAAGAGCGUGUAGGCGGCCAGGUAGGUCGGUUGUGAAAACUGGAGGCUCAACCUUCAGACGUCGACCGAAACCCCCUGGCUAGAGUCCGGGAGAGGAGAGUGGAAUUCCUGGUGUAGCGGUGGAAUGCGCAGAUAUCAGGAAGAACACCCGUGGCGAAAGCGGCUCUCUGGAACGGUACUGACGCUGAGACGCGAAAGCGUGGGGAGCGAACAGGAUUAGAAACCCCGGUAGUCC
Molecule: ribosomal RNA, 449 nt
Filed under: uncultured bacterium
Lineage: Bacteria
Description: bacterial SSU rRNA
Rfam family: Bacterial small subunit ribosomal RNA
Source: RNAcentral